This 253-nucleotide ribosomal RNA is filed under the name uncultured bacterium. RNAcentral describes it as "partial 16S ribosomal RNA". It matches the Rfam family "Bacterial small subunit ribosomal RNA", at positions 524 to 776 of the family's 1533-position model. The record is from RNAcentral.
UACAGAGGGGGCAAGCGUUAUUCGGAAUUAUUGGGCGUAAAGGGCGCGUAGGCGGCAUGGCAAGUGGAAGGUGAAAUCCCUCGGCUUAACCGAGGAACUGCCCUCCAAACUGCUUUGCUUGAGGCCGGGAGAGGUGAGUGGAUUUCCCAGUGUAGCGGUGAAAUGCGUAGAUAUUGGGAGGAACACCAGUGGCGAAAGCGGCGCACUGGACCACAACUGACGCUGAGGCGCGAAAGCUAGGGGAGCAAACAGG